This 469-nucleotide long non-coding RNA is filed under the name Gossypium barbadense (sea-island cotton). RNAcentral's name for it is "long non-coding RNA (GBAR_LNC000589)". Lineage: Eukaryota; Viridiplantae; Streptophyta; Magnoliopsida; Malvales; Malvaceae. The record is from RNAcentral.
CUUUGCUUUUUCCCUCAUAACUCUCUUUUCCUAAGGUAAGAAUGCCUAGACUAUCUUUUUACUUUUACUAAGGAUAUAGGUAUGGUUUAAAGUCUAUUCACUUUUGCCCUUAUACACAGCUCUCUGCAAAUAAAAAAAUGGAAAGUGGGGAUCCCCCUUGCCGUAUCCCGAGCUAACUUCUGAUAAACCAUAUGCAGAGGUCGCUUUCCUUGCUGCCAGAUGGAUUUACCUUCUCUAAGAUGUCUACUUUAGAAAAGAAAGAUUCUUCCGGGACAACUACUAGAUAGCUAGGAACUAGCACUUCAAUUGGAUCCGUUUAGCUUAGGACAACUCUUUCAAGGCUUUCAAGGCACUAGCUUUCUCACGGACUGGAUCACUUGCCUUUGUCUUUGUCCUCGCAGAUACAUGAGUAAGACUAUACAGUAAAGGAGACACACCAGAUUUACAAACUAUCAUUAACAUACAUUUA